UAUCUCUGUAGAGUCUGCAUAUCAAUAAGCGGAGGAAAAGAAACUAACUAGGAUUCCCUCAGUAACGGCGAGUGAAGCGGGAAGAGCUCAAAUUUGAAAUCUUCAAGGUUUUACCUUGACGAAUUAUAGUUUAAAGAAGUGUUUUCUGUUGGAGUUUUGGUAAAAGUUCUUUGGAAUAGGACAUCACAGAGGGUGAGAAUCCCGUAUUUGACCAUUAUUUCCAGCUUUGUGAUACACUUUCAAAGAGUCGGAUUGUUUGGGAAUGCAGUCCAAAAUGGGUGGUAAAUUUCAUCUAAAGCUAAAUAUUGGCGAGAGACCGAUAGCGAACAAGUACCGUGAGGGAAAGAUGAAAAGAACUUUGAAAAGAGAGUUAAACAGUACGUGAAAUUGUCAAAAGGGAAGCGUUUGACACCAGUGUUGUUUUCUCGAAAAUCAAUUAAAAAUGGCGGGAUUUUGUGUUGUAUUGACCUUAUAAGCUUUCUGCACUCUUUUCAUGUCUUUUUUAAUGCACUUUUUUCGUUUAACAAGUCAACAUCAAUUUCUUUUGUUGUAAAAAGGGUCAUUGGAAGGUGGCUUUCUUUUCGGAGAAAGUGUUUAUAGCCUUUGACUCCUGCAAUCGGAGAGACUGAGGUCUGCAGCGUAGAUCCUUCGGGAUUAGAUUCAUUUGUGCUAAGUUACAACCGUUUAUAGACAACUUGUUGACUAUAUUCGAUCCUGUAGCUUACUCGCUUAUGUAAUUUUACCUACGCUUAGGAUGUUGAGUCAUCACACAUCUCU
Molecule: ribosomal RNA, 777 nt
Filed under: uncultured Neocallimastigales
Lineage: Eukaryota; Fungi; Neocallimastigomycota; Neocallimastigomycetes; Neocallimastigales
Description: partial large subunit ribosomal RNA
Rfam family: Eukaryotic large subunit ribosomal RNA
Source: RNAcentral